GCCACUGCAGUCCAGCCUGGGCAACAGAGCCAGACUCUGUCUCAAACAUCAAUAAAUAAAUAAAAUGGCAGUGUUUCCAAUGCACUUGGAAUCACAUCUCCAACUAUAUUUGAUUUAAAAAACCUUAGAUGUCAACUUUUAAAAUGGGAAAGGCAAACAUGAACAGUGUUUGAAAGCCUCUUUCUAGCACACCUGUGCACUCUGCUGGCCCCCACCAGUUGUAGGACAACCACGACUACAGUGUUAGCUGCACAUCUGCUCACGCCACUUGCAUUGGUUAAUGUAAUCAUCCUGCUGCAUUUAAAAUUACGUAAUAAACUGCAAAAAUAGAGCUGUUAAGAGAGUUAUUUCUAGGAAAACUAGUUGAAUGCUUGGGAAAGACAUACUGAGUCACUAAAUAUAAUUUGGUUAAAUUAGGUGUAGGUGUAAAAGAUGGGGGAAGACUGCUUCACAUGUUUCUUUUCCUAAGUUCUUGCUCUCCUUUAAAAGAAAAAAAAAAAACAGACAAAUAUCAAAAACCAGAAGUUGUAAUCCAGUGUUUGCCAAGGUUUCUUGGUAAGAAUUACCUGGGUCAUUUGCUAACUACACAGAUAAACAGGCAUCUUCCCCCUAGAAAUUCUGAUUCAGGAAGUCUAGGUGGGGGCCUUGGGAUCUGAUUUUCCUGGUUGUCUGUUUUGUUUUAUAAAAUAAGGGCUGGAGUCAUUCGUAUCUUCAGGGGUAUUUGGGGAACACGAGGAAGAUUAUGGAUACGACAAGAAAGUCUUGUUUUCAGUGGCUUUUUGAAUGAACAGACCAACUAAGCCCUGACUGCAUGGACUAGGAGGGCUUCCCUACCCGCCCUUGACAGCACAGCCAGGGAGAGCGCUGGACUUCCCUAACACACACGGUCAACUAUCGCUUCAAAGCAGUGACCUCUUCACACCCUAGAUAGGUAGAAAAUACGAAGAAAAAAACAUACAUAUCAUCCAUAAUCUUACCGCAAGAUAACCACUGUUAACAUUUUCAUGUAUGUCCUCUUAGGUUUUCUCUUAUAAAUAUUUGCUUAUAAACAUUCUUUACAGGGAUGGGAAGAGCAUGACCUGUUUUGUAAACCGGCUUUUCUCAUUUAACAAUCCAUCAUCAACAGUGGCACUAUACUCAACACUGGGAAGCAUUCUUUAAAUACUGGCUGAAUGAAUACGCACCACAAGAAAGUGCCUCUGCUUUUAAAGACGUGUCAAGAAAAAUUUGAAAUACGCAUACAAUCUGUCCAAUGAAUCCCACUUUUAGGAAAUGUGUCCUAAGGAAAUCAUUUGAAGAGCAUGCUAAGAUUUCUAUCUAAGGAUAUUCACGAUAUCAUUGAUUAAACUAUCAAAAUUUGAAAUAGCCCAAAUGUCUUACAGUAGAGAAUUAGCUAAAUAUAUCAUUCCUUAUCCAUAUAUAACACCAUACAGUCAAUUGAAAGAUGAUAUUGAUUUAGACAUAUUGAUAUGGAACAUGCUAAGUGAACUGCUGCGUGAACAAAGUAGUUUCAAAACAGAACAUAUGUCAUGAACUCAGUUUUGAAUUUUAAUUAAUACGUGUACAUCUGCAUAAGAAAAGGUUUAGACCAGAGGUGGGCAAACUUAUUCUGAAAAUGACCAUACAGUAAAUUUUUCAGGCUUUGCAGGCCAUUCAAUCUCUGUCACAAGUACUCAACUCUGCCACUUGUAGUUUGAAAGUAGUCAUAGACAGUGUGUGGAAGAAUGAGUGUGGCUGAGUUCCAAUAAAACUUUAUUUCCAAAAACAGGUAGCAGGCCCAAUGUGGCCCAAAGGCUGCUGUUUGCUCACUCCUGGGUCUAGAAGAAAACAUACUAAACUGCUAACGGUAACUAUUUCUGGAUAGCAGAACUAUGGGCGAUUUCUAAUUUCCUCUUUAUAAUGUGAUAAUUUUUGCAUGUUCUCAAUUAAAUUUAAUCAUAAGCAUGUAUUAUUUAAAAAACCAAUAGCAUGUUCUUUUCUUUGUUUUUGGUGGGGCUGGGGGAGGAGGCUUUGAGAUGCCCAAGACAUGCAUGGUUUCCUAUUUUAAUACAAAUUCUUAUUCAUUGUUUCUCAGUUUUUCUAUAGGAUACCACAAAGACCUCUCAACAUACAUUUGAAGGAAAGGAAGAAAUGGAGGGAGGAGAGAAGGCGGGAAGGAAAGAAGCAAGGGAGGGAGGAAGGAAAAGAGGAGAGGGGGAAGGAAAAAAUAACAAACUCCAGUCCUGUCCUGGGGUUAGGGAAGGGCAUG
Molecule: long non-coding RNA, 2248 nt
Filed under: Homo sapiens (human)
Lineage: Eukaryota; Metazoa; Chordata; Mammalia; Primates; Hominidae
Description: HSALNT0332638
Source: RNAcentral